This 467-nucleotide ribosomal RNA is filed under the name uncultured bacterium. RNAcentral's name for it is "partial 16S ribosomal RNA". It matches the Rfam family "Bacterial small subunit ribosomal RNA", at positions 28 to 506 of the family's 1533-position model. The record is from RNAcentral.
GACGAACGCUGGCGGCGUGCUUAACACAUGCAAGUCGAACGGAAAGGCCCUGCUUUUGUGGGGUGCUCGAGUGGCGAACGGGUGAGUAACACGUGAGUAACCUGCCCUUGACUUUGGGAUAACUUCAGGAAACUGGGGCUAAUACCGGAUAGGAGCUCCUGCUGCAUGGUGGGGGUUGGAAAGUUUCGGCGGUUGGGGAUGGACUCGCGGCUUAUCAGCUUGUUGGUGGGGUAGUGGCUUACCAAGGCUUUGACGGGCAGCCGGCCUGAGAGGGUGACCGGCCACAUUGGGACUGAGAUACGGCCCAGACUCCUACGGGAGGCAGCAGUGGGGAAUAUUGCACAAUGGGCGGAAGCCUGAUGCAGCAACGCCGCGUGCGGGAUGACGGCCUUCGGGUGGUAAACCGCUUUCGCCUGUGACGAAGCGUGAGUGACGGUAAUGGGUAAAGAAGCACCGGCUAACUACGU